Molecule: ribosomal RNA, 431 nt
Filed under: uncultured bacterium
Lineage: Bacteria
Description: partial 16S ribosomal RNA
Rfam family: Bacterial small subunit ribosomal RNA
Source: RNAcentral
CCUACGGGUGGCAGCAGUAAGGAAUAUUGGUCAAUGGACGGAAGUCUGAACCAGCCAUGCCGCGUGCAGGAAGACGGCCUCUGGAUUGUAAACUGCUUUUAUCGGGGAAGCGGUACUCGAAGAAUAAGGAUCGGCUAACUCCGUGCCAGCAGCCGCGGUAAUACGGAGGAUCCAAGCGUUAUCCGGAUUUAUUGGGUUUAAAGGGUGCGUAGGCGGCGUUGUAAGUCAGUGGUGAAAGUUUUCAGCUUAACUGGAAAAUUGCCAUUGAUACUGCAGUGCUUGAGUACAGAUGAGGUGGGCGGAAUGUGUCAUGUAGCGGUGAAAUGCAUAGAUAUGACACAGAACACCGAUUGCGAAGGCAGCUCACUAACUUAACUGACGCUGAGGCACGAAAGCGUGGGGAUCAAACAGGAUUAGAUACCCGAGUAGUC